This 3534-nucleotide ribosomal RNA is filed under the name Colletotrichum sublineola. Its description in RNAcentral is "eukaryotic LSU rRNA". The stretch from base 318 to 3432 matches the Rfam family "Eukaryotic large subunit ribosomal RNA". Lineage: Eukaryota; Fungi; Ascomycota; Sordariomycetes; Glomerellales; Glomerellaceae. The record is from RNAcentral.
AAAACUUUUAAUAAUAGAUCUCUUAGUUCUAGUAUUAAUAAAGAACAUAGUAAAAUACAAUAAGUAAUAUAAAUUAUAGAAUUUAGUAAAUUAUUAAAUCUUUAAACAUAUAUUACGCCUACUAGCAUUCUAGUAGGCAUGCCUAUUUAAGUAUUAUUUUAACCCUUAAGCUUCACUUAGUGUUAGGGUACUAUAGUUAAUAUAGGCCCUUAAAAGUAGUAGUAGACCCUACUAAAGCCUCCUUUAUAUAGUAACUAACAUCUCGUAUUAAGAUCUAGAGGGACUCUUACUAUAAAACCCCCUAACUUUUAACUAGUUAACCUUAGAUUAGGUAGGAAUACCUACUAAACUUAAGCAUAUUAAUAAGUAGAGGAAAAGAAACUAAUAGGGAUUACCCUAGUAAUAGCAAGUAAAGUAGUAACAGCUUAAAUUUAAAAUCUAGCCCUAGGCCUAAGUUGUAAUUUAUAGAGGAUGCUUUUAGUAUAGUGCCUUCUAAGUUCCUUAGAAUAGGACGCUAUAGAGGGUAAGAGCCCUAUAUAGUUAGACACUAAGCCUUUAUAAAGCUCCUUUAAUAAGUUAAGUAGUUUAGGAAUACUACUUAAAAUAGGAGGUAUAUUUCUUCUAAAGCUAAAUAUUAGCUAGAGACUAAUAGUAUAUAAGUAGAGUAAUUAAAAGAUAAAAAGUACUUUAAAAAGAGGGUUAAAUAGUACGUAAAAUUAUUAAAAGGGAAGUACUUAUAACUAGACUUACGCCUAGUAAAUUACCUAGCUCUUACGGCUAGGGUACUUUACUAGUAUAGGCUAGUAUUAGCUUGCUAUUAGGGAUAAAAGCUUUAGGAAUAUAGCUCCUUUUAGGGAGUAUUAUAGCCUAUUAUAUAAUACCCUUUAGUAGGCUAAGGUACACACUCUAUAAGGAUGCUAGUAUAAUAGUUAUUAGCAACCUAUCUUAAAAUAUAGACUAAGAAGUUAACCUUAUAUAUAAGUAUUUAGGUGUUAAACCCCUAUGCGUAAUAAAAGUAAAUAUAGAUAAGAGCUUUAGCGUAUUAUUAACUAAUCCUAAUAUUCUUAGAUAGAUUUAAGUAAGAGCAUAUAGGGUUAGACCUAAAAGAAGGUAAACUAUAUGUAUAUAAGGUAAAGCUAGAGGAAACUCUAGUAGAGGCUUAUAGUAGUUCUAACAUGUAAAUUAAUUAUUAAAUAUAUGUAUAGGGGUAAAAGACUAAUUAAACCUUCUAGUAGCUAGUUUCUACUAAAGUUUCCCUUAGGAUAGUAGUAUUAAACUUAGUUUUAUAAGGUAAAGUAAAUAAUUAGGGACUUAGGGGUGCUAUAUAGCCUUUAUCUAUUCUUAAACUUUAAAUAUAUAAGAAGCCCUUAUUACUUUAUUAAACGUAGGUAUUUAAAUAUAUUAAUACUAGUAGGCUAUUUUUAGUAAGUAGAACUAGUGAUGCGGGAUGAACUAAACGUAAGGUUAAGGUACUAGAGUAGUUACUUAUUAGACACUACAAAAGGUGUUAGUAUAUCUUAAUAGUAGGAUAGUAGCUAUAGAAGUUAGAAUCUACUAAGGACUAUAUAACAACUUACCUACUAAAUAUACUAGCCUUAAAAAUAGAUAGCACUUAAGUAACUUACCCAUACCUCGCCCUUAGUAUAGAAACAAUACGCUAAGGAGUAGGCAGACAUAGAGGUUAGUAACGAAGCCUAGGGCGUAAGCCUAGGUAGAACAGCCUCUAGUAUAGAUCUUAGUAGUAGUAGUAAAUACUUUAAUAAGAACUUAAAGGACUAAAGUAGGGAAAGGUUCUAUAUAAACAGUAGUUAGAUAUAGGUUAGUUAAUCCUAAGCCAUAGGGAAGUUCUAUUUUAAAGGGGUACUUAUACCUUAUAUAGCAAAAGGGAAGCUAGUUAAUAUUCUAGUACCUAGAUAUAGGUUUUACGUAGUAAUAUAACUAAACGUAGAGACAACAGUAGGGGCCCUAGGUAGAGUUCUCUUUUCUUCUUAAUAGUUUAUUACCCUAAAAUUAGUUUGUCUAGAGCUAGGGUUUAACAGCUAGAAGAGCCUAAUACUUCUAUUAGGUCUAGUACGCUCUUAACAUCCCUUAAAAAUCCAUAGGAAGGAAUAAUUCUUACGCUAGGUUGUACUUAUAACUAUAGUAGGUCUUUAAGGUAAAUAGCCUCUAGUUAAUAGAAUAAUAUAGAUAAGGGAAGUUAGUAAAAUAGAUCUAUAACUUUAGGAUAAGGAUUAGCUCUAAGGGUUAGGUAUAUUAGGCUUUAGGUAGACAGCUUAGGAGUAGGUCGCUACUAGCCGGGUAACUAGCUGGAGGCUUCUAGUAUCUAGGUUCUAACGCCUUUAGUAGGCUUUAGCUAUCUAGCAUAUAGUUAAUAACCAACUUAGAACUAGUACAGACAAGGGGAAUCUAACUGUCUAAUUAAAAUAUAGCAUUAUAAUAGCUAGAAAGUAGUGUUAACGUAAUAUGAUUUCUACCUAGUGCUCUAAAUAUUAAAGUAAAGUAAUUUAACUAAGUAUAGGUAAAUAGUAGGAGUAACUAUAACUCUCUUAAGGUAGCUAAAUACCUUAUUAUCUAAUUAGUAACGCGUAUAAAUAGAUUAACAAGAUUCCUACUAUCCUUAUCUACUAUCUAGUAAAACUAUAGCUAAGGGAAUAGGCUUAGUAGAAUUAGUAGGGAAAGAAGACCCUAUUAAGCUUAACUCUAGUUUAAUAUUAUAAAAAGACAUAAGAGGUAUAGAAUAGGUAGGAGCUUUAGUACUAGUAAAAUACUACUACUCCUAUUGUUUUUUUACUUAUUUAAUAAAGCGGGGCUGGAUUUAUGUCUAACUUCUAGUUUUAAGGUCCUUUAUAGGCCGACCUAGGUUAAAGAUAUUAUUAGGUAGGGAGUUUAGCUAGGGCGGCACAUCUAUUAAACUAUAACAUAGGUGUCCUAAGGGGGGCUUAUAGAGAAUAGAAAUCUCUAGUAGAACAAAAGGGUAAAAGUCCCCUUAAUUUUAAUUUUUAGUAUGAAUACAAACCAUAAAAGUAUAGCCUAUUAAUCCUUUAGUCCCUUAAAAUUUAAGGCUAGAGGUACUAGAAAAGUUACUAUAGGGAUAACUAGCUUAUAGUAGCUAAGCAUUCAUAGUAAUAUCGCUUUUUAAUCCUUUAAUAUUAGCUCUUCCUAUUAUACUAAAGCAGAAUUUAGUAAGUAUUAGAUUGUUUACCUACUAAUAGGGAAUAUAAGCUAGGUUUAGACUAUUAUAAGAUAGGUUAGUUUUACCCUACUAAUAACCUUAUUGUAAUAGUAAUUAAGCUUAGUAUAAGAGGAACUACUUAUUUAGAUAAUUAGUUUUUAUGGCUGUCCGACUAGGUAGUACCAUAACACUACUAUCUACUAGAUAAUAGCUAAACGCCUCUAAGUUAGAAUUUAUGCUAGAACAUAAUAAUACCUCCUAUAUAUAUAGAUAGACAUAAAUAGGCUUUAGCUUAGCAUUUUAGUAGGUAAUUCCUCUACUACUCUUAAAGAAAGUAGUAGUAUUUUAUAAAUUAUAAUUUU